CGCAUCUGUGCAUGCAGCAUAUCAAUAAGCGGAGGAAAAGAAACUAACAAGGAUUCCCCUAGUAACGGCGAGUGAAGCGGGAAGAGCUCAAAUUUGAAAUCUUAAAGGGUUUCCCUUUACGAAUUGUAGUUUAAAGAAGUGUUUUCUGUUGAGGUUUUGGUAAAAGUUCUUUGGAAUAGGACAUCAUAGAGGGUGAGAAUCCCGUAUUUGACCUUUACUUUCAACUUUGUGAUACACUUUCAAAGAGUCGGAUUGUUUGGGAAUGCAGUCCAAAAUGGGUGGUAAAUUUCAUCUAAAGCUAAAUAUUGGCGAGAGACCGAUAGCGAACAAGUACCGUGAGGGAAAGAUGAAAAGAACUUUGAAAAGAGAGUUAAACAGUACGCGAAAUUGUCAAAAGGGAAGCGUUUGACACCAGUGUUGUUUUUCUGAAAAUCAAUUAAAGAACUGUUUAUGCUAAGCUGUUUAGACUUUAUCAGCUAACUGUUUAGUUUUGAGCCUUUCUUUAAUGCACUUUUCAGUUAACAAGUCAACAUCAAUUUCUUUUGCUGUAAAAAAGCUUGAGGAAGGUGGCUUGAGAUUCGUCUUAAGUGUUUAUAGCCUCUUGCCUAUGCAGUCGGAGAGAUUGAGGUCUGCAGCGUAGAUCCUUCGGGGCUAAAUGCAUUUGUGCUAAGUUAUAGCAUUUUAUAGACAACUUGUUGACUAUGAUUUGUCUUGUAGCUUACUCGCUCAUGUUAUUUUACCUACGCUUAGGAUGUUGACAGCAGUAUAGACUGU
RNAcentral lists this ribosomal RNA (774 nucleotides) under uncultured Neocallimastigales. Its description in RNAcentral is "partial large subunit ribosomal RNA". It matches the Rfam family "Eukaryotic large subunit ribosomal RNA", at positions 26 to 637 of the family's 3401-position model. Lineage: Eukaryota; Fungi; Neocallimastigomycota; Neocallimastigomycetes; Neocallimastigales. The record is from RNAcentral.